Molecule: long non-coding RNA, 219 nt
Filed under: Elaeis guineensis (African oil palm)
Lineage: Eukaryota; Viridiplantae; Streptophyta; Magnoliopsida; Arecales; Arecaceae
Description: long non-coding RNA (EGUI_LNC063420)
Source: RNAcentral
AAAGUGGUGUGUUAGGAAAUAAACUAAAGUAAGGGUUCAUGUCACAAGGUACCAUGGUGAUCUCAGGUCAAAAGAUCACAUGUAUCACCCCUAUUGAAGAACCAUCGUUGACAUGCUGUAAAGCUCCAUCAGAUAUUUUUUCUGCAAGUCAGAUCAGUGAAUUCAUUCUCUAAUAAGUAUUUACAUCUUUGUAUUAGUGUCACCACAUAAGUGAUUGUG